This 329-nucleotide long non-coding RNA is filed under the name Salmo salar (Atlantic salmon). RNAcentral describes it as "lncRNA (ENSSSAG00000097322.1, ENSSSAG00000102469.1)". The record is from RNAcentral. Lineage: Eukaryota; Metazoa; Chordata; Actinopteri; Salmoniformes; Salmonidae.
AGCCAAAUUCACUAAUUUGAAGACGUGUCCACAUACUUAUGUAUAUAUAGUGUAUUUUCUACAGAUGGUCAUACUAUCAACAAACUGUUGUUAAUAAACUGCUUGCUAGGGUUAGAAAAAGGCUUUGGUUUAGGUUUAGAAUAAGGCUUUAGUUUAGAAUAAGGCUUUAGUUUAGAAUAAGGCUUUAGUUUAGAAUAAGGCUUUAGUUUAGGUUUAGAAUAAGGCUUUAGUUUAGGUUUAGAAUAAUGCUUUAGUUUAGGUUUAGAAUAAGGCUUUAGUUUAGAAUAAGGCUUUAGUUUAGGUUUAGAAUAAGGCUUUAGUUUAGGUUU